RNAcentral lists this ribosomal RNA (484 nucleotides) under uncultured bacterium. RNAcentral describes it as "partial 16S ribosomal RNA". It matches the Rfam family "Bacterial small subunit ribosomal RNA", at positions 29 to 507 of the family's 1533-position model. The record is from RNAcentral.
AUUGAACGCUAGCGGGAUGCUUUACACAUGCAAGUCGAACGGCAGCGCGGACUUCGGUCUGGCGGCGAGUGGCGAACGGGUGAGUAAUGUAUCGGAACGUGCCCAGUAGCGGGGGAUAACUACGCGAAAGCGUAGCUAAUACCGCAUACGCCCUACGGGGGAAAGCAGGGGAUCGUAAGACCUUGCACUAUUGGAGCGGCCGAUACUGGACUAGCUAGUUGGUGAGGUAACGGGUCACCAAGGGGACGAUCCGUAGCUGGUGUGAAGGGACGACCAGCCACACUGGGACUGGGACACGGCCCAGACUCCUACGGGAGGCAGCAGUGGGGAAUUUUGGGCAAUGGGGGCAACCCUGAUCCAGCCAUCCCGCGUGUGCGAUGAAGGCCUUCGGGUUGUAAAGCACUUUUGGCAGGAAAGAAACGUCGCGGGCUAAUACCCCGUGGAACUGACGGUACCUGCAGAAUAAGCACCGGCUAACUACGUG